GACGAACGCUGGCGGCGUGCUUAACACAUGCAAGUCGAACGGAAAGGCCCUGCUUUUGUGGGUUGCUCGAGUGGCGAACGGGUGAGUAACACGUGAGUAACCUGCCCUUGACUUUGGGAUAACUUCAGGAAACUGGGGCUAUUACCGGAUAGGAGCUCCUGCUGCAUGGUGGGGGUUGGAAAGUUUCGGCGGUUGUGGAUGGACUCGCGGCUUAUCAGCUUGUUGGUGGGGUAGUGGCUUACCAAGGCUUUGACGGGUAGCCGGCCUGAGAGGGUGACCGGCCACAUUGGGACUGAGAUACGGCCCAGACUGCUACGGGAGGCAGCAGUGGGGAAUAUUGCACAAUGGGGGGAAGCCUGAUGAAGCAACGCCGCGUGCGGGAUGACGGCCUUCGGGUUGUAAACCGCUUUCGCCUGUGACGAAGCGUGAGUGACGGUAAUGGGUAAAGAAGCACCGGCUAACUACGUG
RNAcentral lists this ribosomal RNA (468 nucleotides) under uncultured bacterium. RNAcentral describes it as "partial 16S ribosomal RNA". It matches the Rfam family "Bacterial small subunit ribosomal RNA", at positions 28 to 507 of the family's 1533-position model. The record is from RNAcentral.